This is a long non-coding RNA of Nymphaea colorata (pocket water lily), 3329 nucleotides long. RefSeq lists it as uncharacterized. The transcript is spliced from 2 exons. The record is from RefSeq and is a predicted model, not a curated record. Lineage: Eukaryota; Viridiplantae; Streptophyta; Magnoliopsida; Nymphaeales; Nymphaeaceae.
UUAGGACACACAGACACUCUCUCUAAAUUAAUUUUCCUAAGGUAUAUCUCGCGCCCCUUGAAUCAACGUUUUGGAAUGUUAAUUACAGAUUCUGGUAUUGAUGGAAUUGGAAAUAUAAUCCUUGAUUCCAAUCAGUCCUGCUUUCAAGACCAAGUCUAGCCAUGGGGUGCGACACCAACGGAGAUGAAGGCGAAAUCGUAGCGUGGAAGGAGGGGCAACAUUCCAGGGGAAAGUCGAUUGUGGCUGGGGAGAGGCCCCGGUCCUGGGCACGUGGUGGAAUCAGCGGAUGACGGCUUUCUUUGAUGUUGCGGCGGCGAGUGGAAGAGGCGAGGGGGUUCCGACGAUGUAUCUGCAUCCUGAGGCUGUGCGAAGCAUGGAUGCAUAAUUCCAGAAUGCUGUCAUCGCAGGCCUCUAUGGAUGAGGUAGGAGAUCGGGAAUGGACUCCGCCUAUGUUUUCGAAACCCUUCGAAAGCAAUGGACGACUUUGAAAAACCCAAAGUUCACAGUGGAUGGAAAUGGGCUUUUUCUUCAGACCGAGGAGGAACUACAAGUGAUUUUGAAAAGGAAGGCCUGAAGGUGGGCAUGCGUAUGCUCAUUGCAAGCAUGUGAGGUGGGUGCCUGGAAUAGAAAUGAAGAUCGAUGAGGAGGAGAGAGUCCCCAUCUAGGUAUGUCUCCCAAAUCUACCGGUGAAUCUUUGGAGUGUAUGUACGUUGAAGGGAGUGGCGAGAGGGCUGAACGUCAUUGAGAACCAAUGGACGAAGGAGCAGACACGGGGGAGCUAUGCUUGAAUCAAGGUGGACGUCCCCCUGAAGUUCACCCCAUCUCUGGUAGUAAAGUUACGGCUUGGAGGGCAGUCGAAUCCUGGAACAAGAGGCAAUCUAUGUAUCAAGAAUUACUUUCCGUAAUCACUGUGGAGCCACCACACAUUGCACUGGCCGCUGCCAGAAUAUCCUCAAGCCUCAAGGAUGCUUUAGAUAAGAAGCCUAGCAUGUUGUCUCACCUUGAUGACCUGUCGAUGAAGGUGAAAUUUGUUACUAAGCCAUCGCCACCACCCAAGGGACGUGAUCCCCAAUUAGAAGGGAGAGAGCAAAGAAACAAGGAUGACAGAGCCUCCAACUUGGAGACAGGGGCCUAGGCGAAUGGGGACGCAACAGGGGGCAGCUAGGAAUCCCAGGAAGGAGCAACUAAAGGAGAGGCUUGGAAUGGUCGACACAGGUUCCUGGAAGGAGGCUGGAUUACCUAGGAAGGACCUCCCCUGCUUCCAAGAAGGUACUCUUUGGCGACAAAAGACGUAAGUACAGAGGAUCAUGGGUCAGGAGCCAAACCAAAAACGUGUGUGGGAAAAGGCCCCAGCUCAAGUAAGCAGCGUGGGACAAAAGAAAAAGGAAAGGGGGCUGGUUAGGGAGGACCUAAGACCCCCUUGCAAGGAAUCAGCAAUCUUUUCCCCCUAGAGGAAGGAUGGACUAGGUUGGGGCUUAAAAGGAGAAAGGAAGUCUCUACUUCCCCCAUCCUAGAUAUUGCUAAGAAUGCAAUGGAAGUCAAUGAGGGUAUGGAUGUCGAGGAGGCUGCUAGCCCACACACCCCACAUGAAUAUCCUGACCUAGAAUAUGAGAGGUGCUGCUGGGGCAGCAGCACAAAGGGACCUCAUUGCGAUGUUGGCAGAGCGAAAGCCUUACAUUCAUCUUUGUUGGAUACUCAAUUCAAAGAAUUGACCCUUCAAAGUAUCACCAAGAGGGGUGGCAACUUAUCUGUGAAGCCGAAUAUAGAACAAGCUGAUGGCCGUGCUCGUGUGGUCUGCCUAUGAAAUAACUCAAAUUUUCAAAUGAUAGACUCUCUUUGCUGAAGAUGGUGGAUUUCGGCUCCUGUUUGUCGUCCAAAACCUUGCUCAAACUAUAAGCGCCAUUGGAACAAGUCUUCCCACCAAUCAGUUGCUGCGAGCGAGCUGUUUGAUAGAACUCAGCAGCCUGAUCCAAUCUCUUCACACCCCUAGGGUCAUCAGCGUGGACUUUAAUGCAAUGUGCGGGCAUAGCGACAAAACUGGUCGCCCUCCACUGCUUAAAUCCUGCAUUGAUUUUAACCGGUUUAUUAAUGGGUGCAGGCUACAGGAGAUUGCCGAUCCUAGCUGCUCAUUCUCGAGGUCGAACAAAAGGCAUAUGGAGGACCUCAUCUUGUGCAAAUUAGACUGGUGCCUAGUGAACCAGUCGUAGCAGGAAAUAGACAGUUGGGUCAGCAGUGUGAAGCUCCUUCUUAGGCACAUUUCUGAUCAUAAGCUAUCAUCCUAUCGGUUCAUCAUCGUCAUAACCAUGGCACCUUCUGCCCAUUUCAGAUUUUUCAGACCAUGGAUGCACAACGUGAAGACUAAGGAGAUCAUGGGGGAAGCAUGGAUACGGCAGGCUCAGGGGUCCCGGAUGAUCCAACUCUUAGGCAAGAUGAAUUGAGACAAAAAAGGAAUAUCCCAAUUUAACAGAGCUAACUUUGGGCUCAUAGAUGAUCAAAUUAAGUCUCUCCUUGCAGAAUUGGAGGAGCUACAGGUUGGGAUUGAAGGAGGGUGUGUCCAGGCAGUGGAUCGAGAGGACAGUGUGCGAGAUAGACUGGACAUAAUGUUGAUGCUGGAAAAGGUUAUGUGAAGAGAUAAAGCCUAAUGCAAGUGUAUCAAGGAAGGUGACAGGAACACUCGUUAUUUCCAAGAGGUAGUGAAAGGAAGAAAAUUGAAAAACAAGAUUUCUAAUCUGAUCAUGAACAUUGUCUCACAUGUCAACUAGGUGGAUAUCAUGGAUGCAAUAACCGCACAUUUUGAGUCCUUCAUAUAGGAUAAUGAGGCUAAUGGAGACCUCAUCGACCCCAUUGCCAAUCAUCUGUUGGUAGAGGAUGAGGAGAACUGUCACUUGCUUAGGCCUAUGGAUAAGAGAAGUUUUUGAGGCUAUCAGGAAGUUGGAUAAGGAUAGUGUGGCAGGACCCUACGGCUUCCCAAAUCACUUAUCAGAGUUAAAAUUGGUCAUGCAAGUCUUAAUAUCCUUAAAAGAACUGAUUUUUAGAGUAUUUGGGGAGAAAUUUUUAGUGAAAUUUUAUCCAAAAUAGACUUAUAAGUAGUCCUAUAGGCUGGGUUCAGUGAGGUUGAAAAGCUCAUCUGGAGCUCUGGAAUUGUACGUAGGCCAAAACAAUCAUUUUCUUUUGAGUCAUCUUUUUCCACCAACAUAGUAUAUAUGCCACCUAUACCUUAGUUUAUGAAUUUCUUUGAUUCCUGGAGCCUUUGCCCAAACUAAAUUCUUGAUUGGAGCAUGUUUUAGCGCAAGAUCACACCCCGCAGUAAAACAAUCAUUUGCUUUUCA